CUUAUGCCCUUGAUUCUGAGGGCCCCGGGCUUGCUGGAUGGGGGCUCACCGGGUAUCAUCCCGUUUCUGGUUGGAGCAAGGGACCUUGCCUCGCUAUUGAAAGCGCGCUGCUUUACUUCGAUUGUAGCUCCCCAUAAUCUCCGGAAUGAAGAGCAAGCGGUCCAGGCCGGGUGCGGUGGCUCAUGUCUGUAAUCCCGGCACUUCCGCAGGCCAAGUGGAAGAGUGAAGACUCAGAAGAGGAAGGACCCAGGGUGGCCCGGGGCAGGAGAGCCUCGGGAGGGACUGACAGCAGCCAGGAGGCUGAGCCUGAACCCUAAAACCUACCCCCUCCUCCCCAAAAUGGGCAAAUGGGUGUAUGUCCCAGUCUUUUCCUUUCAGGGCUGGACCUGAAACCAGCCAAGACACCUGGCUUUCAGGUUUCAUUCCAAGUUCGUCCCUCUUCUCUUGCUCCCUGGCCUGACCCUGCUAAACCUCCCACGCACAAAUCUCCACUUCCACACUUUUAUUCCCCGGUCCUUCUGCCUGGAAUGCCCUCCCCACACUCGUCUCCAAACUUUGAAAUAGUUAUACACUGUUAUUAACAGUCGUCCUGGUACCAGAGCAAGCAGAAUGCUAUUAAAACCAUGGGCUUUUCCGUCAGCACAGACCCCAGUGUGAAUCCUGCCUCUGCUGUUUGCUAGCUGUGUGACCUUGGACAUCAUGCUUAACCUCUCUGAGCCUCAGUAUCUUUGUCUAUUAAAUGAGAAAAAUAAUACCCACCUCAUGUGGUUGUUGUGGAAAUGAAAAGAGAGAAAGCAUGUAAAAUACAUACACAAUGCCUCACUCAAACUAAGAAUAUACAGGAAUAGCUAACACAGUAUUUACUAUAUGCUGACCACAUUAUGUUAAUUUAAAUCUUCCUCCCCACAAAGCUGUGAGAGAAGAACCAUAUCAUCCCUGUUUUAUAGAUUAAAAAAACAGGGCUGGGGAUGCGGGCUCACACCUGUAAUCCUAGCACUUCAGGAGGCCAAGGUGGGCAGAUCACUUGAGGUCAGGAGUUUGAGACCAGCCUGACCAACAUAGCAAAACCCCGUCUCUACUAAAAAUACAAAAAUUAGCUGGGCAUGGUGGGCACACCUGUAGUCCCAGCUACUCAGGAAGCCGAGGCAGGAGAAUCCGGGAGGCAGAGGUUGCAGUAAGCCGAGAUGGCGCCACUGCACUCCAUUCUGGGCGACAGAGUGAGAACAAAAAAAAACAAAAACAAAAACUGAGGCACAGUCAGGUUUGAUAACUUGCCCAAGGUCACACAGCUAGGAAACAGCAGAACUGAUAGCUGUUAUUAUUAUUAUUAUUCCCCUACUAGAUGGUAGGCUCAUUGAAGAAAGGUGCUUUGCACAUAAUAAUUGGGGUUUUUUAAUUUGUUUUUUGAGACUGGGUCUCGCUCUGUCAUUCUGACUGGAGUGCAAUGGCACAAUCACAGCUCACUGCAGCCUUGAAUUCCUGGCCUCAAGUGAUCCUCCUGCCUCAGCCUCCCAAAGCAUUGGGAUUACAGGAGUGAGCCAUUGUGCUGGGCCAUAAUAAUUUUAAUAACUACUUUCAAUAAUGUUAAAAAAAAGUCCAAGUUCAAGUCCCUGCAAAUUUCAAGAGGCAUCCUCUAUUUCCUAAAAUUCCCCCAGAAAAGAAAUUCCCAGCUUCUUCAGGGAAACAGCAGUGACACCACAGGGAAGAAAAAAAAUUUUUUUUUUUUAAUCAGAAAGCUUGGAUCGAUUUUGGCCAGGUCACCUCUUCCCAACUCUAUGAGUUGAGACCAAUCGCUUCGCUUCUCUGGGCCUCACCUUUCUGGUUUGUAAGAUAGGGUCAGCAAAUGCCAGAGCUGCCUGCUUGCCCAGGCGGAGCUGAGAACCCAGUGUGAGAUCUCAAGAGAUAAAGCACUCUGUGGACUAGAACACCCUGUCCAAAGUGAAGGUCUUUUCAUUUGUAACCCUUUCCCAUCCUUGGCCCCACUACUGGGAAGUUUUUCCGUUAGGACCAAGCCUCAAGCGUGUGGUGGAAAAUAACAGAGGCAUUUAAAGGGAAAUGAAACUGCCUUCCUCAGCAGAAUGUUCCCCACACAUUUGCUGUGGCCCAUGGCAGCGCCUCUGCUGGGCGCCUUCAGCCUUAGGAAGCACUAGCGGCCGCCUGACGCCACGGGGCAAUUCAGAGGCUGGUAAACAGCACAUGGCAUUCCCGGCCCAUGGCAGGCAUUCAUGCACGGAAUUCUUUGUCCUCGUGAGGAAAGACAGAGAGUUGCUCUGUGCUGCAAAGCUCAAAGCCAGAACUCCACUUUCAAAACUCCCAGCCCGAGAUCACGCCAAGGCUAAGCGUGCCACCAACCCCUUAAAGUGUGCUUGUGAAAUAAACUUGUCCAAACAUGGACUUUUUUCUUGAAAA
Molecule: long non-coding RNA, 2409 nt
Organism: Symphalangus syndactylus (siamang)
Lineage: Eukaryota; Metazoa; Chordata; Mammalia; Primates; Hylobatidae
Source: RefSeq, a predicted model, not a curated record